This is an RNA transcript of Glycine soja, 2772 nucleotides long. It is a transcript of the gene named gamma-tubulin complex component 2-like, with no coding region annotated. The record is from RefSeq and is a predicted model, not a curated record. The transcript is spliced from 20 exons. Lineage: Eukaryota; Viridiplantae; Streptophyta; Magnoliopsida; Fabales; Fabaceae.
UGUCCAUUUUGUUCAGAAAUGGAGAGGAUCCGAACUCUCUCUCUGUCUCAUCUUCGAAUUCGAAGCAAACACAAACCCUAACUUUCGAGUUCUCUCGGUUCGUCCCAUUGCACUGAGCCACAGAGCAAUUCCGUCCACUCGAAGCAACUACGUCGCACUCGCGCCCUGGUCUCUUCAUCUUUGAUUCUCAGGUGCUUUUUUUUGCUACAUUUUCAGUUUGCAGCUAUACUUGAAGAUGUCAUCUGUUUGAAGCUGUAUAUAUAUAUAUAUAUAUAUAUAUAUAUAUAUAUAUUUUUUUUUUUUUUUUUUUUAUAUAAAUUUUUUAGUAUAUAUUGGGCCAAUUAGUGAUCCACUGGUUGGACCACUGAUCCACUGUCUCGACCCGCUCAGUGACCAGGCCGAUUUUCACAACAUUGGUUUCUUCUCUUUGCUCUCUUCGACCUGCACUUUCUCUUCCAAAAUGAACCAAACUGCCAUUGCCAACUUUGAAAAGGCAAUAGGCUGUUACUCUCCAUCGGUUCAGGAGCUUAUUGUUAUUGAUGAUGUGCUCUCCGCCAUGGUUGGCAUUGAAGGACGUUACAUCUUAAUCAAAACAAUUUGUGGAAAGAGUGAUGAUAUUACUUUCCUGGUUGAUCCGUCAAUGGAUUUGGCCCUACAGGAGUUGGCAAAACGGAUAUUCCCUCUUUGCAAGAGCUUUCUGUUGAUCAACCAGUUUGUGGAGUCAAGGUCUGAGUUCCAGAGUGGCCUGGUUAAUCAUGCCUUUUCUGCUGCACUGAGGGCACUUCUUCUCGAUUACCAGGCUUUGGUGGCACAACUCGAACACCAAUUUCGGCUUGGAAGGCUUUCCCUUCAAGGAUUGUGGUUCUACUGUCAGCCCGUGAUGAGGUCAAUGCAGGCAUUAUCCACUGUCAUACAGAAGGCUUCAGUCAACAAUAUUUCUGGUUCUGCUGUUCUUAACUUACUGUAGAGCCAGGCAAAGGCUAUGGCUGGAGACAAUGCUGUCAGGAUGAUACUGGAGAAAAUGACACAAUGUGCAAGUAGUGCUUACAUGAGCAUAUUAGAAAGAUGGGUUUACGAAGGUGUAAUAGAUGAUCCUUAUGGUGAAUUUUUCAUCGCAGAGGACAAAUCUCUUCAAAAGGAGAGUCUCACUCAAGAUUAUGAAGCUAAGUAUUGGCAACAACGUUACAGCCUCAAAGAUGGAAUUCCUAGUUUCCUUGCAAAUAUUGCAGGAGCAAUUUUGACAACAAGAAAAUAUCUAAAUGUCAUGAGAGAAUGUGGGCAUACUGUUCGGGCCCCUCCAUCAGAAAAUUCAAAACUAAUGAGUUUUGGCUCAAAUCAUCAUUAUCUUGAAUGUAUUAAGGCUGCUUAUAACUUUGCAAGCAGUGAACUCUUGAAUCUCAUUAAGGAAAAGUAUGAUCUUACAGGAAGGCUGCGUUCUAUAAAACACUACCUUCUUCUUGAUCAGGGUGAUUUCUUAGUACAUUUUAUGGAUAUUGCACGAGAUGAACUGGCUAAAAAGCCUGAUGAAGUCUCAGUUGAGAAGCUGCAGUCUCUUCUAGACCUUGCAUUGCGUACUACAGCAGCUGCAGCAGAUCCUUUUCAUGAAGGCUUAACCUGUGUUGUGGAAAGAUCUUCUCUGAUUAGAAGGUUGGGCACAUUUAAUGAUCUUGAAGUUACUCAGAGAAAUUCUGGCAACAAUGUUCUGGAGGAGCCUGUUAGCAUCACUGGCCUCGAAACAUUUUCACUUAGUUACAAGGUUCACUGGCCACUGUCUAUAGUGUUAUCACGUAAAGCCCUUACAAAGUACCAAUUACUUUUUCGAUUUCUUUUCCAUUGUAAACAUGUUGACCGUCAGUUAUGUGGAGCUUGGCAAGUGCAUCAAGGAGUUCGUGCUCUCAAUACACGUGAAACUGCUAUAUCCAGAUCAUCUCUCCUUUGCCGGAGCAUGCUUAAAUUUAUUAAUAGCCUUUUGCACUAUCUGACAUUUGAGGUUAUUGAACCCAAUUGGCAUCUGAUGUAUAACAGACUUCAGUCGGCAAAUAGCAUAGAUGAGGUUAUACAACAACAUGAUUUUUUCCUUGAUAAAUGUUUGAGAGAGUGUUUACUUCUUUUACCUGAGUUGCUGAAGAAGGUGGAGAGGCUUAAAUCCAUGUGCCUACAAUAUGCAGCAGCAACUCAAUGGCUUAUUUCUUCUUCUAUUGAAUUACAUAACCCAGAAGAACCUAUUGAUGAAUCAAUUGGCUUGAAUAAAGCCAAAGGGAAAUCAGGUCAGGUCCUGAAGUCAACCACCAGAAAUGUGGCAGUCACUGAUUCUGUUCUCAAAUUUGAGAAAGAGUUUAAUACCGAGCUUCAGAGUCUUGGAUCAAUCUUGAGUAGUAACUCCCAGGCAGAGCCAUAUCUGUCUCAUCUAGCACAAUGGCUUCUUGGUGUUAAAAAUGAAAAAAAUGGUUUAUGAUGGGUUUUAACUUGGAUUUAAGCAAUUGUGUACAAGGUAUUGUGAUUUUCAAGUAUAGGUGUUAUUGACGUUCUCAAAAGGUUGCGUUUGUACCGAUGUUUGAGAAUAAUGUUAUUUUUUUUUUCUUGAGUGUUUUCUGGUACGUUUUUGCUAAAAUUUGCUUAGCAAUUAUUUGGCCUUCGAAGGAAACAAUUAUUUGAUGAUAUAGUCGUGUCCUGUGGUUUUCAGCUUGGUAGAUAACUAGGAGUCAUUAGUUAUUUAUUGUAAAUACUGUACCGGCAAAGGUAACAUUCUAAGAUAAAAAUAUACUUUCAGUA